GAAUAAGAAGUAAAUUAUUACAUUUAGUUUCGACCUAAAAAUUUGGUAUUAAAAAUAUAUCCUUAUUUA
RNAcentral lists this transfer RNA (69 nucleotides) under Scarites buparius. RNAcentral describes it as "tRNA-Arg". Lineage: Eukaryota; Metazoa; Arthropoda; Insecta; Coleoptera; Carabidae. The record is from RNAcentral.